CCUACGGGUGGCAGCAGUGAGGAAUAUUGGUCAAUGGACGAGAGUCUGAACCAGCCAAGUAGCGUGAAGGAUGACUGCCCUAUGGGUUGUAAACUUCUUUUAUAUGGGAAUAAAACGUUCCACGUGUGGGAUUUUGUAUGUACCAUAUGAAUAAGGAUCGGCUAACUCCGUGCCAGCAGCCGCGGUAAUACGGAGGAUCCGAGCGUUAUCCGGAUUUAUUGGGUUUAAAGGGAGCGUAGGUGGAUUGUUAAGUCAGUUGUGAAAGUUUGCGGCUCAACCGUAGAAUUGCAGUUGAAACUGGCAGUCUUGAGUACAGUAGAGGUGGGCGGAAUUCGUGGUGUAGCGGUGAAAUGCUUAGAUAUCACGAAGAACUCCGAUUGCGAAGGCAGUUCACUGGACUGCAACUGACGCUGAGGCUCGAAAGUGUGGGUAUCAAACAGGAUUAGAUACCCGUGUAGUC
This 460-nucleotide ribosomal RNA is filed under the name uncultured bacterium. Its description in RNAcentral is "partial 16S ribosomal RNA". It matches the Rfam family "Bacterial small subunit ribosomal RNA", at positions 338 to 795 of the family's 1533-position model. The record is from RNAcentral.